Bombus terrestris (buff-tailed bumblebee) is the source of this 4725-nucleotide long non-coding RNA. RefSeq lists it as uncharacterized. The transcript is spliced from 4 exons. Lineage: Eukaryota; Metazoa; Arthropoda; Insecta; Hymenoptera; Apidae. The record is from RefSeq and is a predicted model, not a curated record.
GUUCUUCACUGUUUCUUCAAAUUUUAUCAAAUGCUUGAAUUUUUACAUUUACUAUGAACAAAAGUAACUGCUAAAAUGUUUAUCUUAUAAUACGUAGUAUAAAGUAAGAGAAGGUUAUGUUGAAAAUGACAACGCGAGUUCGUGCUCGCCAUUCAUAUGCAGAUGCGUUAGUCACAAGGAAAAAUAACUAGAUGAUAGUUCUAGAUACAAUCGAUAGAUUUAAUCGAUAGGUUUAAGAUGUUCUUUUGUUUUUAUCCCUAGCCCAUAUAAGAACGUGCAAUAAAGGUUUUUCUGGCUCAGAACGGUGUUAGAAUCCUACCUCUGAAUAAAGACAUAACAACAGGUUAUCUGAUUCAUUUUCUCAUAUGCGAUAUUUUCUUAUUCUUUACAGACUAAGUAUAUGUAAGCUAAGACUAAGUAUAUAUAGGUAUAUAUAAGCCUAAUGUACAAUGAUUCUGAUUAUUUUGUGCAAAGAUUAUGAAGGAAUUUUGAGUCAUCGAAGCUUAGCUGGCUCAAGUGAUAUACACAAUUAUAGAGGAUCCAUAGAUUUAUUAAUUUCUUACUAAUUCUAUAAUUCUCACCUGAACAAAAGCUCGCUUCGAUACCUGCUGAGCUUAACCUAACUACGAGUUUCCAAACUACAAACCAGAUGCAAAAAGCUUGGUUUCCAGUGCUUCUACAUCCUCUGUACACGCUAAGUGCAAGAACUCUAUCAGGCGUUAAAAUGUCACAGUGUGUGUUGCGUCAUGAGAAACGAACCACCUCAGUGUGUCUCGACGAGGCAUAAGACGUGCCAUAAGGAUAUCGAAGGUCCUUGAAGAAGCAAGUCGAAGGAGGGAUAGAUGGGUCGUCCGAAAGCAAUUAGCCUCGAAAACAUUUCUGGCUUGCGUCCGAGGGCCCUUUACCAACAAUGCGCCAGCGUUUUCGUUGUAUGCAAACUGUCUUUCAGUGACGAAGGGUGUCGAAUGCUUCGAGCGGUAAUCAGUGUCCGAGGGACGUUCACAGAAACUCUCCCUUCGCAAAGGGUUUCCCCGGUGUCGUCUGAACCUGGCUCUGAGCAUUUCUCCGACUGUGGGAAAGUUGCUAAUUGGAAAGACGUUGGAAGAGGACUUUAUUAUAUUUAAAUAUGCUUCGCUUGGAAGAGAAAUGAAGAUAUAAUUUUUAGACGUUUCUAAUUGAAAGAAUUAACCAAGUUUUAAAGGAACAUCUUUGUACAUACGUAUCCAAAGUUCUGUUUUAUUUUAUCUUAUUAAACAUUGUCUAACAGACUAUCAUAACGAAGACCUAUGAGAUUAAAAAUAUCAGAAGCAGCCUUCUUCAAUCCUUUCACGGAAAUGGAUAUGAAUAAUUGAUUAUCAUCUAAGAUGUGAAACUCGAUGUACUAUAAUUGACACUGUAAAAGAGCUAGCCCUGUGACGAGUAUCAUCCGGGCACAAAUCCUAAUCACAAUUUCCACUACGUAAAAUGGGAAUCAGCAUCAUCGUGGCGUGUUUGCCCGCAGCAUCCCUUGAACGCUACACAUCUUCGUCUUCAUCCAUGGAACACUUUUCACGACGACCACGCUCAUCUUUCCGCCACGCGGCCCUUUCCACCACGACGUGUAACACGUCGGAGAAAUUCAGCUGGCGAGCUUCUGGGCUUGCCGGAGGAAGGAUGUCACGACGGCCGAGAGAGGAGGAGGAUCGUCGCUAACGACUCCGCGAGCCGUAGCCGCGAAAGGUGAUGAAUCACUUUUACGACUCACUCGGCCAUUCUUCCUCGUCCGAGGAGGCCGACUGUCGACGUAAGCCGCUAUAAACGUGGCUUUUUCUCGCCUGGUCCGGGCUCCUUUGAGCGAGUCGCCGGAAGAGCCUGCUCGCCGCACGCAAAUUGCUUUCAAGCAGCGAUGUCAGGUGGUAAUUGGUCGCGGGUCGCGGGUCACGGGUCGCGUUAACAUCGUUACCAUCCCCGUGCACCGAUAAUUAUCGCCUUUUCCUUUCGUUUUUCAUCUGGAUAUCGCGCCUAAAGUGGAACUACUGAACGGCCUUUCAUUAAAGCGUAUCUGAAACUUUCACUCGACACGAUCGCGAGCCCGGUUCGUUGUCGUGUUUUCUUCGUGCGCGUAGUCUGAUAAAAACACGUGUUUCUCUUGUCGCGUCGCGGCCAGCACGCCUUUCCAACUGCGGCUGAUUGCGCCUUUCAGCGAGUCGCGUUGAUCUCAGACUGCAGCUUCGCGCUCGCCGCCUGUCGCUCAAUGAAAGAUGCUCAAUCAGCGCUUUUUAGGCAGGUGGAAGUGAAAAUGCUUCUCUUUUUGGUUGACUCAAGUGUACUCAGAGGAUCAAUUGCUUGCUGGCUCUGUUAGUUAAUUCCCAGCAUCGACUGUCUAGCUUCUGAAAAGCACUUCAGGAAUUGUCAUGUUGUUUUAUGUAUCUGUAAUUAGCUGGACAGACAAGUGAAAGUUUUAGAUUUAUUUGAGGAGGGUUGCUAUUGAUCAAUGAGGCUGACGAAAUUGCACGGAAUCUUCUGAUCUUCUAAAAAUACAAAAUGUUCGAUUCAGCUGUCUUCUGGUGGUAGGAUACGAGUCAUUCGGUAGCCAAUCAUUUUGCUCAUUCGAUGCUUUUUGAUGUUCUAUAUUUCAUGCACUUUUGUUAAACCGUAUGACUAAAACACCUGAUCUAACAAAAAAUGUACAUAGUUAUGUAUAGAUCAACUUAACCUUGCGCACUGUUGUGCCCUGCUGUUUCGCCUAAGUUGCUCUAAGUUGCUUUCAGAAGCAGCACGGAGGAUCAAAGAGUGACAGCGACCCAUACGAACAUCAACCCCAAUACCUAAGCCUUUGGAGGUGUGUAAGGGCGUCCCCAAGAGGACACAGUCCCCCUUUUCACGUCGACAAACGCGGGAUCGUGACUCAGCAGCGAAAUGGAAUCUCCGGAGACUCAUGCUUUUCGCUUUGGAUGGAUCUGCUGCCAACACCUUCACGUGGCAUAUAUGCGAAAAUAGCCGGGAUCUUUCGUAGAUUUAGGGACCCGGACACGCGUGCAUUCUUAUACGAACCAUGUCGAAUUUCGUUGCUCGAACGCGUAAAUAUUUGGAAUAUUCUGUAACCUGCAGAUCGAUCGGUCCCCGAAGACUUUAAUAUCGUCGAGCGCGUAAAAUGUAUUUUGAAUCCACUUUCUUCCUUAUUAGAACGCAGGUGGCCACCUGUUACUAUUAGAAAUUCAUUAGCUUUCUUUUGCAAUCAUUGAGAAUUGUACAUCUUAAUUGCCGAAAUAUAAGUAAAGGAAUACUAAGGUUACACUUAGAAUUCAUAUUAAAAUAGUUUCAGAUUUAUUUAACAAACGAUUCCCAGGAUCUCCGUGGAUAUCGUUUGCACGCGUCUCGGCGCUCUCUUUGUCUCACCAUCUUCUUGGGAAUGGAACAGUCGCAUUCGUCUGUUUUUCCGAGACGCUGUGCACACACGUACUUCCAUACACUCGUAUUCACAUACGUGUGUCACGGUUGAUCUAGUUUGGCACACAGAAUAUCUCAAUAUAAUCUCAAUAGGAAUAUUUUUAAAUUGCCCCACGUUCUCAUCCCUUAAAUAUCUUCACGUCCACGUCUAAGAUUGUGUCUACCGUGAAAAGAGGAAUAAUUUUAUAGAGCGAAGAGCCAUGUGUGCCUACGAUAUUGGAUUUCACCGUGAAACUACUUUGCAAUGGAAUUGCAAGUCAUUUUGAAGACACCAAAGUUAUCAAAAAGAUUGUUUGAUAUAGGAAGAGUUUUUAGGGCUAUGAACAUUGCAUGAGCAAUUUGGUCAUUUACAUCAAGAUUACAGCUUCAUGAGGAUGUUUUGACAGUUUUUGAAAAUCCUGACAGUUAACAACAACAAUUAAAAAUAUGCAAAUAGGACAAUGCUUGGAAACAUACGAAGGGUUAAAAGUCGAAAUGAUAAAGCGAGGGACAGGGUUUGUAAGAUUCAUGAAGCUGUGGUUAUACGUUUUCUUGUUCGUUUCAAGAAUGAUUCUCGCGUGUAAUUAUACGCGAUUAUAAAUGAGGCACCGUUGCAUUGUAAAUUCUCAGAAGUUGUAAAUUAUCAUGUCACUGAAUGUAUAAAGAGAUGUAGAUGAACAGCUACUGAUUGUCGAUACAGCGACCGUAAACGUUUUUGAUAAAAACUUUGUCUAUUGUCCAUGGCAAUUGCAUUACUUGUACACAUUGAAACCAGUCUGCAAUUUCCUGAACGUUACAUGCUAAUAAUAACGAUAAUAGCGAUAAUAAUAGUAAUAGUAAUUUCUUCACAAAGACAAAGAAAAUUCUUCUCUUCGCUCUGUGUUCUAUUCGCCUUGUUUUCCUACUCGUUCGGCACUCUAUAUCUAUUUAUCGUGACCCUGAACGAUCGAUCUACCGGGUGACAUAAUUUAGUGAAGAGGGAAGGCGAAAAAUAGGGAAAAAAAUAUCCAAAUUUCCUGGUGAUUCGCGAUGUUGUCGCGAACGAUCAACAAGUAAAGCGUAACGGGCCAGUAAUAAAGCGAUGAAAGUGAUAAAUCGCGACGGUUCCACCCCCAGGUCGGGCAGCGGCGUAUUGCGUUAUUAAAACUUUCCUAAUGGCCGAUAAUAAGCAGCCGGCCGGCUGGAUUGAUAUUAAAUCGUAAACUACUGCGUUCUCAUUUAUCAUUAUCACGACGGAACUCGAUGGUUCAUAGCGCGCGACGCCUCCGGUUGCAAACUUAGCCAGGCAAUUCCAGCCAAACGGGUUUUCACUGGAAA